UCUUAAUUAAUAUUUAAAUAGUACACCGUUUUAAAGUGUUUAAAAUUCUAGACAGUGACAUGAACCAUUAUUGAGCUAACAAUUAACCGACAGUUUCUAGAAACAUGUUAAUUUAAUUCUACAAGAUAACAAUGAAUCGUUAAUUUGAUAACGGUUAGCCGAUAUCUUCCAGAAAGAAGUGUAUUUGCUUAUUCGAUUCUGGAAGAGAAGGGUGAACUUUUUUUUAGAUAAUGGUGAACCGAUAUCAUCCAGAGAGGUAUAUGAUUGCAGAUAAAGAUCCGUUAAGAGCAAAGGUUAACUAAUAGCAAUUGCAAAGUUACUGGACAAACACGGCGAACCGACAUCCAGGUAAUGGUGAACCGCCAUUUUAAAUUUUAAAAUUUUGGGAAAGGUGUGUGAAUGAAACGGGCGGGAAAUUUUUAAAAUUUUUACUUUAUUUAAGACAUGUGACAUUAGUCGUCAAACAUGCAACCCUGAUGUCCAACAUGCAACAACUGACGUUAAACAUGAAACCAAUAAUAUUUUACAUCAAACAUGCAACAUAUCACGUAAAGCAUGCAACUUUGAUGUCAAACAUAAAACAAGCGAGAAUAUUCGGGAAUAUUCCCGAAUAUUCUUUAUUUUGGCUUUAUUCAAGACAUGCAACAUCUAACGUCAAACAUGCAACCUCGACGUCCAACAUGCAACAAUAGACGUAAAACAUGAAACCCGCAAGAAGUCACGUUAAAUAUGCAAUUUAUCACGUAAAGUAUGCAACUUUGAUAUCAAACAUGAAAUGGACGAGAAUAUUCGAGAAUAUUCUUUAUUUUGGCUUUAUGUAAAACAUGCAACAUCUAACGUCAAACAUGCAAGUUGAACGUCAGACAUGCAACAACGAACGUUAAACAUGCAACCUGCAACACUGUACGUGAAAUAUACAACUUAUCACGUAAAGUUUGCAACUUCGACGUCAAACAUGAAACAGACGAGAAUAUUCGUGAAUAUUCUUUAUUUUGGCUUUAUCCCAAACAUGCAACAUCGGACGUCAGACAUGCAACAACGGACGUUAAACAUGCAACCUGUAACACUGCGCGUGAAAUAUAUAAUUUAUCACGUAAAGUUUACAACUUCGACGUCAAACAUGAAACGGACGAGAAUAUUCAAGAAUAUUCUUUAUUUUGGCUUUAUCCAAAACAUGCAACAUCGAACGUCAAACAUGAAACCGGGACGACCGACAUGCAACAACGGACGUUAAACAUGCAACCUACAACACUGCACGUGAAUUAUACAACUUAUCACGUAAAGUUUGCAACUUCGACGUCAAACAUGAAACGGACGAGAAUAUUUAGGAAUAUUCGUUAUUUUGGCUUUAUUCAAAACAUGCAAUAUCGUACGUCAAACAUAAAAUCCAACCGUCGAACAUGCAACAACUGACGUUAAAUAUGAAACUUGCAACACUUCACGCGAAAUAUGCAACUUAUCACGUAAAGUUCGCAACUUCGACGUCAAACAUGAAACGGAUAAGAAUAUUCGGGAAUAUUCUUUAUUUUGGCUUUAUUCAAGACAUGCAACAGAUUACGUCAAACAUGUAACCGUGACGUCCGAUAUUCAACAAUGGACGUUAAACAUGAAACUUGCAACAAUUCACGCGAAAUAUGCAACUUAUCACGUAAAGUUCGCAACUUGGACGUCAAACAUGAAAUAGACGAGAAUAUUCGAGAAUAUUCUUUAUGUUGUCUUUAUUCAACACAUGCAACAUCUUAUAUCAAACAUGCAAUCGAGACGUCGGACAUGCAACAACUGGCGUUAAACCUGAAAUACUAUUUUUUUCAUUUUCAAUUUCUUUAUUUUUUUUCAUUUUAUUUAAUUAUAU
RNAcentral lists this long non-coding RNA (1852 nucleotides) under Citrus x clementina. RNAcentral describes it as "Citrus clementina (C. clementina) long non-coding RNA (CCLE_LNC000975)". The record is from RNAcentral. Lineage: Eukaryota; Viridiplantae; Streptophyta; Magnoliopsida; Sapindales; Rutaceae.